AUUGAACGCUGGCGGAAUGCUUUACACAUGCAAGUCGAACGGCAGCACGGGGCAACCUGGUGGCGAGUGGCGAACGGGUGAGUAAUACAUCGGAACGUGCCCAGUCGUGGGGGAUAACGUAGCGAAAGCUACGCUAAUACCGCAUACGAUCUACGGAUGAAAGCGGGGGACUCGCAAGAGCCUCGCGCGAUUGGAGCGGCCGAUGGCAGAUUAGGUAGUUGGUGGGGUAAAGGCUCACCAAGCCUGCGAUCUGUAGCUGGUCUGAGAGGACGACCAGCCACACUGGAACUGAGACACGGUCCAGACUCCUACGGGAGGCAGCAGUGGGGAAUUUUGGACAAUGGGCGCAAGCCUGAUCCAGCCAUUCCGCGUGCAGGAUGAAGGCC
This 386-nucleotide ribosomal RNA is filed under the name uncultured bacterium. Its description in RNAcentral is "bacterial SSU rRNA". It matches the Rfam family "Bacterial small subunit ribosomal RNA", at positions 29 to 416 of the family's 1533-position model. The record is from RNAcentral.